GGGGAAUAUUGCGCAAUGGGGGAAACCCUGACGCAGCAAUACCGCGUGAGUGAAGAAGGUUUUCGGAUCGUAAAGCUCUGUUAUUGGGGAAGAAAAAAAGACGGUACCCAAGAAGAAAGUCCCGGCUAACUACGUGCCAGCAGCCGCGGUAAUACGUAGGGGACAAGCGUUGUCCGGAUUUACUGGGCGUAAAGGGCACGCAGGCGGUGGUUUAAGUCCGUUGUGAAAGCCCUGGGCUCAACCUGGGAACUGCAGUGGAUACUGGAUCACUAGAGUGUGGCAGAGGGUAGUGGAAUUCCCGGUGUAGCAGUGAAAUGCGUAGAGAUCGGGAGGAACAUCAGUGGCGAAGGCGACUGCCUGGGCCAACACUGACACUGAGGCACGAAAGCGUGGGGAGCAAACA
This 403-nucleotide ribosomal RNA is filed under the name uncultured bacterium. RNAcentral's name for it is "bacterial SSU rRNA". It matches the Rfam family "Bacterial small subunit ribosomal RNA", at positions 356 to 774 of the family's 1533-position model. The record is from RNAcentral.